GACGAACGCUGGCGGCGUGCCUAAUACAUGCAAGUAGAACGCUGAAGGAGGAGCUUGCUCUUCUGGAUGAGUUGCGAACGGGUGAGUAACGCGUAGGUAACCUGCCUGGUAGCGGGGGAUAACUAUUGGAAACGAUAGCUAAUACCGCAUAAGAGUAGAUGUUGCAUGACAUUUACUUAAAAGGUGCAAUUGCAUCACUACCAGAUGGACCUGCGUUGUAUUAGCUAGUUGGUGGGGUAACGGCUUACCAAGGCGACGAUACAUAGCCGACCUGAGAGGGGGAUCGGCCACACUGGGACUGAGACACGGCCCAGACUCCUACGGGAGGCAGCAGUAGGGAAUCUUCGGCAAUGGACGGAAGUCUGACCGAGCAACGCCGCGUGAGUGAAGAAGGUUUUCGGAUCGUAAAGCUCUGUUGUAAGAGAAGAACGAGUGUGAGAGUGGAAAGUUCACACUGUGGCGGUAGCUUACCAGAAAGGGACGGCUAACUACGUG
RNAcentral lists this ribosomal RNA (495 nucleotides) under uncultured bacterium. RNAcentral describes it as "partial 16S ribosomal RNA". It matches the Rfam family "Bacterial small subunit ribosomal RNA", at positions 28 to 507 of the family's 1533-position model. The record is from RNAcentral.